UUCCUUGCGCAGUGGCAAUAUCGUAACCAAUGAAGGCCUCCUGAGGUGCGAUUAUUGCUAGUUGAAAACUUUUACCAAUAUGU
Non-coding RNA from Rhodnius prolixus, 83 nucleotides. The record is from Rfam. Lineage: Eukaryota; Metazoa; Arthropoda; Insecta; Hemiptera; Reduviidae.